RNAcentral lists this ribosomal RNA (473 nucleotides) under uncultured bacterium. RNAcentral's name for it is "SSU rRNA". It matches the Rfam family "Bacterial small subunit ribosomal RNA", at positions 26 to 518 of the family's 1533-position model. The record is from RNAcentral.
AGGACGAACGCUGGCGGCGUGCUUAACACAUGCAAGUCGAGCGGAAAGGCCCUUCGGGGUACUCGAGCGGCGAACGGGUGAGUAACACGUGAGUAAUCUGCCCCUAGCUCUGGGAUAGCUCCGGGAAACCGGGAUUAAUACCGGAUACGACCACCUUAGACAUCUUUUGUGGUGGAAAGAAUUUCGGCUAGGGAUGAGCUCGCGGCCUAUCAGCUUGUUGGUGGGGUAACGGCCUACCAAGGCGACGACGGGUAGCCGGCCUGAGAGGGCGACCGGCCACACUGGGACUGAGACACGGCCCAGACUCCUACGGGAGGCAGCAGUGGGGAAUAUUGCGCAAUGGGCGAAAGCCUGACGCAGCGACGCCGCGUGGGGGAUGAAGGCCUUCGGGUUGUAAACCCCUUUCAGCAGGGACGAAGCGAAAGUGACGGUACCUGCAGAAGAAGCGCCGGCUACUACGCGCCAGCAGCCGC